GUUUCUAGGGUGUAUUACAGCACAUUAGAUUUUCGUUCUAAAGGGAUAAACAAUUUUAUUAGAAAUG
RNAcentral lists this transfer RNA (67 nucleotides) under Neptuneopsis gilchristi. RNAcentral describes it as "tRNA-Glu". The record is from RNAcentral. Lineage: Eukaryota; Metazoa; Mollusca; Gastropoda; Neogastropoda; Volutidae.